Papaver somniferum (opium poppy) is the source of this 4550-nucleotide RNA transcript. RefSeq lists it as uncharacterized. The record is from RefSeq and is a predicted model, not a curated record. The transcript has 4 exons. NCBI's taxonomy places the organism in Eukaryota, Viridiplantae, Streptophyta, Magnoliopsida, Ranunculales, Papaveraceae.
GAAAAUAUCUUUGAAGUUUCUGUCUAUGGAGACAAAAUUUCAGAAGAAUGCAGUUGCUAAUUCUUUGCCGUUAAAUACUGCUGGUGGUAGCCAAAAUCCUCAAGAUCCAGGUAAAAAUUUUCUAUGAUAUAGAGAUUACUGGUACAUCAUAUUUUAUUAAUGUUAAAGUGUCCCGUAAGAGAUUUUGCUAUUACAUACUUAACUAUGUUAUAAGUGUUGAUUUUUAUUUCAAUUAUUUGUUUUGCGAUGUGCAUCAUAGUUCACUUAUUGCCAUUUUCUCUGAGUUAUUAAUCACCUGAUUUAUAUAUUUACUUUCUUAAUUUUACCAAAAUAGCGUCUCACAGUAUGCAGUCUCAAGUGCGCAACCCAGGGCAGUUACAAAUUUCUUUAGCUAACCAGUCUCUAGCAUGGCAGCAGCUGUUGUCCCAGAAAAUUCAGAAUGAUAUCGCAAAUCCUGGAAUUCAAGGACCCAGAUCAUGGUCACAAAUUCGAACUAACCAUUCUAAUAUUGAAUCUAACAUGGACGCUACUGAUUGGAAAACCCUACUUCAACCUGAAUCUCGAACACGCAUAGUCACUAAGAUGGUGGAAAUUCUGAAGAGACACCUUCCAUUUACUGGCCCUGAGGGAUUGGUAGAGCUUGAUAAACUUGCUGUAAGAUUCGAAGAAAAGAUUUUUACUGCUGCUGCUGCAAGCCAGGUAUAUCAUUCAAUGUGGUGCGCCAGUGUUACUGCUUGACUAGUUUUUUCUACUGAUAUGCUCUUAUUUUCACUUCAUAUAAUUAACCCAUGAAGUACCUAGUUGCUAAGUCUGCGAGAUUUUGAUUGAUUAAAAUUGAAAAUGCGACAUUGUUAUGUGCUCAUGCUUCAUCGGUGCGUUUUGGGAGAGUUGCGAGUAUGUGGGCACAAAUAUUUCACCGCUUAAAGGCAUUAUAAAGUAGUUAGUAUAGGAACUAGAAGCAAAUGGGGAUCUUUUCUAAUUUAGAGUUACACUUACUGCGUGACUAACCUGAGACGUGAGCUAUACGAGAGAUAAAUUGUUUAACAUUACAAGUGAGCAUUAUAUUCACGUGUUUCACCUUGAAUUGUUAAAUUACUCAGAAAUUCUUAGUUUUUGUGGAAGAGAGACAGAGUACUUGAACCUUCUUUGCUGUUCUUUAAUUAUUAAGAUCGAUAACGGAGUUGUGGGAGACUUUGGGGACACAUAAAUGAUAAAUUGAGUUUGGGACUGUGGAAUUGUUCUUGGAGAUGUUCAAGCCAUUUUUGCCAUAGUGUUCUUCUGAGAGGUACGAAUCUGCUCAUUGUUAAUUUUCGGUUACAAAUCUUUAGGUGUAUUUGACAUGAAGAUGAAGUACAAAUGCCCUAUCAUAUCCAGUUAGAUAUUACCACCUUUUACGUUAACAUUUAUGAAACAUGAAGUACUCUGUACAUAUACCUUUCUAGUUUACACAAACCUCUUGCAGUACUAAUUGAGUUAUUUGGAGCUGAAGUCUUGAAAGUUACUUGAGCUGUGCUUGUUACCCGAUGUCCCAUUGGGGACAGUACUUAAUCUCCUGCGGGACCUGGCUGAGUCUGAGAAGGGUAUUUAUGCUUCUAUUACAGUAAUGUGUCGGAAGGAUUUGAUGUUAUUAGUUAUCAGUAAGGUAUAAUUUCCUAAGAUCUGGUAAAUACUUUUCUCUUUCUUUGCACCCGUCCUCUGGGUUUUAGGAGGUUAUAAUCUUUAAGCAGUAGCAGCGAUAAGGUGUCACAUUAGAGUAAUAGAUGAUGUGCUAACAGAGCAAAAUCAUGUAAUGAAUACAGUUUGGAUGAUCAACAUAUAAAAUUAUCUUUCGUUGAGAACUGGGUACCAGUGCAUCUUAUGUAAAUCAUGUUUGCCGAUGUAUCAUGAUCUCUGCACCAUAUAUUUGUUUGUAUAUUUACUCAUUGAACUUCUUUUUAACAUGCAACACUUAUGGAAUUUAUCUAAAUUAAUUUUAUAAUAUAUAGUCGGAUUAUCUACGAAAAAUAUCUUUGAAGUUUCUGUCUAUGGAGACAAAAUUUCAGAAGAAUGCAGUUGCUAAUUCUUUGCCGUUAAAUACUGCUGGUGGUAGCCAAAAUCCUCAAGAUCCAGGUAAAAAUUUUCUAUGAUAUAGAGAUUACUGGUACAUCAUAUUUUAUUAAUGUUAAAGUGUCCCGUAAGAGAUUUUGCUAUUACAUACUUAACUAUGUUAUAAGUGUUGAUUUUUAUUUCAAUUAUUUGUUUUGCGAUGUGCAUCAUAGUUCACUUAUUGCCAUUUUCUCUGAGUUAUUAAUCACCUGAUUUAUAUAUUUACUUUCUUAAUUUUACCAAAAUAGCGUCUCACAGUAUGCAGUCUCAAGUGCGCAACCCAGGGCAGUUACAAAUUUCUUUAGCUAACCAGUCUCUAGCAUGGCAGCAGCUGUUGUCCCAGAAAAUUCAGAAUGAUAUCGCAAAUCCUGGAAUUCAAGGACCCAGAUCAUGGUCACAAAUUCGAACUAACCAUUCUAAUAUUGAAUCUAACAUGGACGCUACUGAUUGGAAAACCCUACUUCAACCUGAAUCUCGAACACGCAUAGUCACUAAGAUGGUGGAAAUUCUGAAGAGACACCUUCCAUUUACUGGCCCUGAGGGAUUGGUAGAGCUUGAUAAACUUGCUGUAAGAUUCGAAGAAAAGAUUUUUACUGCUGCUGCUGCAAGCCAGGUAUAUCAUUCAAUGUGGUGCGCCAGUGUUACUGCUUGACUAGUUUUUUCUACUGAUAUGCUCUUAUUUUCACUUCAUAUAAUUAACCCAUGAAGUACCUAGUUGCUAAGUCUGCGAGAUUUUGAUUGAUUAAAAUUGAAAAUGCGACAUUGUUAUGUGCUCAUGCUUCAUCGGUGCGUUUUGGGAGAGUUGCGAGUAUGUGGGCACAAAUAUUUCACCGCUUAAAGGCAUUAUAAAGUAGUUAGUAUAGGAACUAGAAGCAAAUGGGGAUCUUUUCUAAUUUAGAGUUACACUUACUGCGUGACUAACCUGAGACGUGAGCUAUACGAGAGAUAAAUUGUUUAACAUUACAAGUGAGCAUUAUAUUCACGUGUUUCACCUUGAAUUGUUAAAUUACUCAGAAAUUCUUAGUUUUUGUGGAAGAGAGACAGAGUACUUGAACCUUCUUUGCUGUUCUUUAAUUAUUAAGAUCGAUAACGGAGUUGUGGGAGACUUUGGGGACACAUAAAUGAUAAAUUGAGUUUGGGACUGUGGAAUUGUUCUUGGAGAUGUUCAAGCCAUUUUUGCCAUAGUGUUCUUCUGAGAGGUACGAAUCUGCUCAUUGUUAAUUUUCGGUUACAAAUCUUUAGGUGUAUUUGACAUGAAGAUGAAGUACAAAUGCCCUAUCAUAUCCAGUUAGAUAUUACCACCUUUUACGUUAACAUUUAUGAAACAUGAAGUACUCUGUACAUAUACCUUUCUAGUUUACACAAACCUCUUGCAGUACUAAUUGAGUUAUUUGGAGCUGAAGUCUUGAAAGUUACUUGAGCUGUGCUUGUUACCCGAUGUCCCAUUGGGGACAGUACUUAAUCUCCUGCGGGACCUGGCUGAGUCUGAGAAGGGUAUUUAUGCUUCUAUUACAGUAAUGUGUCGGAAGGAUUUGAUGUUAUUAGUUAUCAGUAAGGUAUAAUUUCCUAAGAUCUGGUAAAUACUUUUCUCUUUCUUUGCACCCGUCCUCUGGGUUUUAUGAGGUUAUAAUCUUUAAGCAGUAGCAGCGAUAAGGUGUCACAUUAGAGUAAUAGAUGAUGUGCUAACAGAGCAAAAUCAUGUAAUGAAUACAGUUUGGAUGAUCAACAUAUAAAAUUAUCUUUCGUUGAGAACUGGGUACCAGUGCAUCUUAUGUAAAUCAUGUUUGCCGAUGUAUCAUGAUCUCUGCACCAUAUAUUUGUUUGUAUAUUUACUCAUUGAACUUCUUUUUAACAUGCAACACUUAUGGAAUUUAUCUAAAUUAAUUUUAUAAUAUAUAGUCGGAUUAUCUACGAAAAAUAUCUUUGAAGUUUCUGUCUAUGGAGACAAAAUUUCAGAAGAAUGCAGUUGCUAAUUCUUUGCCGUUAAAUACUGCUGGUGGUAGCCAAAAUCCUCAAGAUCCAGCGUCUCACAGUAUGCAGUCUCAAGUGCGCAACCUAGGACAGUCACAAUUUUCUUUAGUUAACCAGUCUCUAGCCCAGCAGCAGCUGUUGUCCCAGAAUAUUCAGAAUAAUAUCACAAAUCCCGGGGAUGCUGGUCGUCCAGAAGUUGGUGGUUUUCGUAGUUGGGAUGGUGGUCCUCUUGAAACUAAUCGUAAGGAACUAGAGGGUAGAGGCGAGGAACACGGAUAUCUUGAUUUAACCCUCAAGCUUUUGAAUGUAAUAUUAGGCGAGGAAACCGGAUAUUUAACCCUCAAGCUUAAGAAUGUAACAUUUCUCCAUUUUCCUUGUAUUUAACUCUCAAGCUUAAGAAUGUAAUAUUUCUCCAUUUUCCUUGUGUUGUUCGACGUGCCAGUUGUGGCAUGAUAUAUGAAGGCAAACAAAUAUAGAAAUGUAUUUAUUUUUCA